UCCCAAAGUGCUGGGAUUGCAGACAUGAAC
This 30-nucleotide non-coding RNA is filed under the name Homo sapiens (human). Lineage: Eukaryota; Metazoa; Chordata; Mammalia; Primates; Hominidae. The record is from RNAcentral.